ACAAGGUGAAAACGCACUUUACCACCGGUCUUCGGAACCGAGGGUUGUGGGUUCGAGUCCCUCCGGGUGUA
Molecule: transfer RNA, 71 nt
Filed under: Planctomycetota bacterium
Lineage: Bacteria; Pseudomonadati; Planctomycetota
Description: tRNA-Arg
Source: RNAcentral